GGAUGUGAGGGCGAUCUAGCUGUGACAUCUGUCACCCCAUUGAUAGCCAGGGUUGAUUUGGUUGAUCUGGCUGGCUAGGCGGGUGUCCCCUUCCUCCCUCACAGCUCCAUGUGCGUCCCUCCCGAAGCUGCGCACUCGGUGGAAGAGGACGACCUACCCCGCUAGAGGAAGUAGCUAGAGAGCUACUCAUAUACCCUGUCAAGUAUAUACCCUGUCAAGGGUAUAUGAGUAGCUGCGCUCCCCUGCUAGAACCUCCAAACAGGCUCUCAAUAUUUCUACAUAUUUGCUUUCUUCUUUUUUUUUUAAAGAUUUAUUUAUUUAUUUGAAAGGCAGAGUUACAUAGAGA
Molecule: small nuclear RNA, 346 nt
Filed under: Oryctolagus cuniculus (rabbit)
Lineage: Eukaryota; Metazoa; Chordata; Mammalia; Lagomorpha; Leporidae
Description: 7SK RNA
Rfam family: 7SK RNA
About the family: 7SK was discovered as an abundant small nuclear RNA in the mid-70s but a possible function has only recently been suggested. Two independent studies have found that 7SK RNA binds the CDK9/cyclin T complex (known as elongation factor P-TEFb).
Source: Rfam by way of RNAcentral